Protopterus annectens (West African lungfish) is the source of this 4608-nucleotide long non-coding RNA. RefSeq lists it as uncharacterized. The record is from RefSeq and is a predicted model, not a curated record. NCBI's taxonomy places the organism in Eukaryota, Metazoa, Chordata, Ceratodontiformes, Protopteridae. The transcript is spliced from 4 exons.
UGCAAGGGGGAGGUAUGGAAGAACUAAAAAACAGAGGUAUGCAUAUAAUGAGAACACAUAGGAGAAUGCAAGGGGGAGGUAUGGAAGACCUAAAAAACAGAGGCAUGCAGAUAAUGAGAACACGUAGGAGAAUGCAAGGGGGAGGUAUGGAAAACCUAAAAAACAGAAGUAUGCAGAUAAUGAGAACACGUAGGAGAAUGCAAGGGGGAGGUAUGGAAGAACUAAAAAACAGAGGUAUGCAGAUAAUGAGAACACAUAGGAGAAUGCAAGGGGGAGGUAUGGAAGACCUAAAAACAGAGGUAGGCAGAUAAUGAGAACACAUAGGAGAAUGCAAGGGGGAGGUAUGGAAGACCUAAAAAACAGAGGUAUGGAAGAACUAAAAAACAGAGGUAUGCAGAUAAUGAGAACACAUAGGAGAAUGCAAGGGGGGGUAUGGAAGAACUAAAAAACAGAGGUAUGCAGAUAAUGAGAACACAUAGGAGAAUGCAAGGGGGGGUAUGGAAGAACUAAAAAACAGAGGUAUGCAGAUAAUGAGAACACGUAGGAGAAUGCAAGGGGGGUAUGGAAGAACUAAAAAACAGAGGUAUGCAGAUAAUGAGAACACAUAGGAGAAUGCAAGGGGGGUAUGGAAGAACUAAAAAACAGAGGUAUGCAGAUAAUGAGAACACAUAGGAGAAUGCAAGGGGGAGGUAUGGAAGAACUAAAAACAGAGGUAUGCAGAUAAUGAGAACACAUAGGAGAAUGCAAGGGGGAGGUAUGGAAGAACUAAAAAACAGAGGUAUGCAGAUAAUGAGAACACAUAGGAGAAUGCAAGGGGGGGUAUGGAAGAACUAAAAAACAGAGGUAUGCAGAUAAUGAGAACACAUAAAAGAAUGCAAGGGGGGGUAUGGAACAACUAAAAACAGAGGUAUGCAGAUAAUGAGAACACAUAGGAGAAUGCAAGGGGGGUAUGGAAGAACUAAAAAACAGAGGUAUGCAGAUAAUGAGAACACAUAGGAGAAUGCAAGGGGGAGGUAUGGAAGAACUAAAAAACAGAGGUAUGCAGAUAAUGAGAACACAUAGGAGAAUGCAAGGGGGGGUAUGGAAGAACUAAAAAACAGAGGUAUGCAGAUAAUGAGAACACAUAGGAGAAUGCAAGGGGGAGGUAUGGAAGAACUAAAAAACAGAGGUAUGCAGAUAAUGAGAACACAUAGGAGAAUGCAAGGGGGGGUAUGGAAGAACUAAAAAACAGAGGUAUGCAGAUAAUGAGAACACAUAGGAGAAUGCAAGGGGGAGGUAUGGAAGAACUAAAAACAGAGGUAUGCAGAUAAUGAGAACACAUAGGAGAAUGCAAGGGGGAGGUAUGGAAGAACUAAAAACAGAGGUAUGCAGAUAAUGAGAACACAUAGGAGAAUGCAAGGGGGGGUAUGGAACAACUAAAAAACAGAGGUAUGCAGAUAAUGAGAACACAUAGGAGAAUGCAAGGGGGGGGGUAUGGAAGACCUAAAAAACAGAGGUAUGCAGAUAAUGAGAACACAUAGGAGAAUGCAAGGGGAGGUAUGGAAGACCUAAAAAACAGAGGUAUGCAGAUAAUGAGAACACAUAGGAGAAUGCAAGGGGGAGGUAUGGAAGACCUAAAAACAGAGGUAUGCAGAUAAUGAGAACACAUAGGAGAAUGCAAGGGGGAGGUAUGGAAGAACUAAAAACAGAGGUAUGCAGAUAAUGAGAACACAUAGGAGAAUGCAAGGGGGAGGUAUGGAAGAACUAAAAAACAGAGGUAUGCAGAUAAUGAGAACACAUAGGAGAAUGCAAGGGGAGGUAUGGAAGAACUAAAAAACAGAGGUAUGCAGAUAAUGAGAACACAUAGGAGAAUGCAAGGGGGAGGUAUGGAAGACCUAAAAAACAGAGGUAUGCAGAUAAUGAGAACACAUAGGAGAAUGCAAGGGGGAGGAGGUAUGGAAGAACUAAAAAACAGAGGUAUGCAGAUAAUGAGAACACAUAGGAGAAUGCAAGGGGGAGGUAUGGAAGAACUAAAAAACAGAGGUAUGCAGAUAAUGAGAACACAUAGGAGAAUGCAAGGGGGAGGUAUGGAAGAACUAAAAAACAGAGGUAUGCAGAUAAUGAGAACACAUAGGAGAAUGCAAGGGGGAGGUAUGGAAGAACUAAAAACAGAGGUAUGCAGAUAAUGAGAACACAUAGGAGAAUGCAAGGGGGAGGUAUGGAAGAACUAAAAACAGAGGUAUGCAGAUAAUGAGAACACAUAGGAGAAUGCAAGGGGGAGGUAUGGAAGAACUAAAAACAGAGGUAUGCAGAUAAUGAGAACACAUAGGAGAAUGCAAGGGGGAGGUAUGGAAGACCUAAAAACAGAGGUAUGCAGAUAAUGAGAACACAUAGGAGAAUGCAAGGGGAGGUAUGGAAGAACUAAAAACAGAGGUGUGCAGAUAAUGAGCACACAUAGGAGAAUGCAAGGGGGGGUAUGGAAGAACUAAAAAACAGAGGUAUGCAGAUAAUGAGAACACAUAGGAGAAUGCAAGGGGGAGGUAUGGAAGAACUAAAAAACAGAGGUAUGCAGAUAAUGAGAACACAUAGGAGAAUGCAAGGGGGGGUAUGGAAGAACUAAAAAACAGAGGUAUGCAGAUAAUGAGAACACAUAGGAGAAUGCAAGGGGGGUAUGGAAGACCUAAAAACAGAGGUAUGCAGAUAAUGAGAACACAUAAAAGAAUGCAAGGGGGGGUAUGGAACAACUAAAAAACAGAGGUAUGCAGAUAAUGAGAACACAUAGGAGAAUGCAAGGGGGGUAUGGAAGAACUAAAAAACAGAGGUAUGCAGAUAAUGAGAACACAUAGGAGAAUGCAAGGGGGAGGUAUGGAAGAACUAAAAAACAGAGGUAUGCAGAUAAUGAGAACACAUAGGAGAAUGCAAGGGGAGGUAUGGAAGAACUAAAAACAGAGGUAUGCAGAUAAUGAGAACACAUAGGAGAAUGCAAGGGGGAGGUAUGGAAGACCUAAAAACAGAGGUAUGCAGAUAAUGAGAACACAUAGGAGAAUGCAAGGGGAGGUAUGGAAGACCUAAAAAACAGAGGUAUGCAGAUAAUGAGAACACAUAGGAGAAUGCAAGGGGGGUAUGGAAGAACUAAAAAACAGAGGUAUGCAGAUAAUGAGAACACAUAGGAGAAUGCAAGGGGGAGGUAUGGAAGACCUAAAAACAGAGGUAUGCAGAUAAUGAGAACACAUAGGAGAAUGCAAGGGGAGGUAUGGAAGACCUAAAAAACAGAGGUAUGCAGAUAAUGAGAACACAUAGGAGAAUGCAAGGGGGAGGUAUGGAAGACCUAAAAACAGAGGUAUGCAGACAAUAAGAACACGUAGGAGAAUGCAAGGGGCGGUAUGGAACAACUAAAAAAAAGAGGUAUGCAGAUAAUGAGAACACAUAGGAGAAUGCAAGGGGGGUAUGGAAGACCUAAAAACAGAGGUAUGCAGAUAAUGAGAACACAUAGGAGAAUGCAAGGGGGAGGUAUGGAAGAACUAAAAACAGAGGUAUGCAGAUAAUGAGAACACAUAGGAGAAUGCAAGGGGAGGUAUGGAAGAACUAAAAAACAGAGGUAUGCAGAUAAUGAGAACACAUAGGAGAAUGCAAGGGGAGGUAUGGAAGACCUAAAAAACAGAGGUAUGCAGAUAAUGAGAACACAUAGGAGAAUGCAAGGGGAGGUAUGGAAGACCUAAAAACAGAGGUAUGCAGAUAAUGAGAACACAUAGGAGAAUGCAAGGGGGAGGUAUGGAAGACCUAAAAACAGAGGUAUGCAGAUAAUGAGAACACAUAGGAGAAUGCAAGGGGGAGGUAUGGAAGACCUAAAAAACAGAGGUAUGCAGAUAAUGAGAACACAUAGGAGAAUGCAAGGGGAGGUAUGGAAGACCUAAAAAACAGAGGUAUGCAGAUAAUGAGAACACAUAGGAGAAUGCAAGGGGAGGUAUGGAAGACCUAAAAAACAGAGGUAUGCAGAUAAUGAGAACACAUAGGAGAAUGCAAGGGGGAGGUAUGGAAGACCUAAAAAACAGAGGUAUGCAGAUAAUGAGAACACAUAGGAGAAUGCAAGGGAGGUAUGGAAGAACUAAAAAACAGAGGUAUGCAGAUAAUGAGAACACAUAGGAGAAUGCAAGGGGGGUAUGGAAGAACUAAAAAACAGAGGUAUGCAGAUAAUGAGAACACAUAGGAGAAUGCAAGGGGGAGGUAUGGAAGAACUAAAAAACAGAGGUAUGCAGAUAAUGAGAACACAUAAAAGAAUGCAAGGGGGGGUAUGGAACAACUAAAAAACAGAGGUAUGCAGAUAAUGAGAACACAUAGGAGAAUGCAAGGGGGAGGUAUGGAAGAACUAAAAAACAGAGGUAUGCAGAUAAUGAGAACACAUAGGAGAAUGCAAGGGGGGUAUGGAAGAACUAAAAAACAGAGGUAUGCAGAUAAUGAGAACACAUAGGAGAAUGCAAGGGGAGGUAUGGAAGACCUAAAAAACAGAGGUAUGCAGAUAAUGAGAACACAUAGGAGAAUGCAAGGGGGAGGUAUGGAAGACCUAAAAAACAGAGGUAUGCAGAUAAUGAGAACACAUAGGAGAAUGCAAGGGGGAGGUAUGGAAGAACU